CCUACGGGAGGCAGCAGUAGGGAAUUUUCGUCAAUGGGCGCAAGCCUGAACGAGCGAUGCCGCGUGAGUGAAGAAGGCCUUCGGGUCGUAAAGCUCUGUUGCGGGGGAAAAAAGGCAGCAUCAGGAAAUGGGUGCUGACUGAUGGUGCCCCGCCAGAAAGUCACGGCUAACUACGUGCCAGCAGCCGCGGUAAUACGUAGGUGGCGAGCGUUAUCCGGAAUGAUUGGGCGGAAGGGGUGCGUAGGCGGUCCUGCAGGUCUGGAGUGAAAAGGAUGGGCUCAACUCAUGCAUGGCUUUGGAUACUGGAGGACUGGAGAGCAGGAGAGGGCGGUGGAACUCCAGGUGUAGCGGUGAAAUGCGUAGAUAUAUGGAAGAACCCCGGUGGCGAAGGCGGCCGCCUGGCCUGUUGCUGACGCUGAGGCACGAAAGCGUGGGGAGCAAAUAGGAUUAGAUACCCCAGUAGUC
Molecule: ribosomal RNA, 465 nt
Filed under: uncultured bacterium
Lineage: Bacteria
Description: partial 16S ribosomal RNA
Rfam family: Bacterial small subunit ribosomal RNA
Source: RNAcentral